GACGAACGCUGGCGGCGUGCUUAACACAUGCAAGUCGAACGGAAAGGCCUGCUUUCCCUUGUGGAUUGCGGGUACUCGAGUGGCGAACGGGUGAGUAACACGUGAGUGAUCUGCCCCCAACUUGGGUAUAAGCCUGGGAAACUGGGUCUAAUUCCCGAUAGGACUGCAGGGUGGUGCCUGUGGUGGAAAACGAUUUUCUAGUGGUUGGGGAUGAGCUCGCGGCCUAUCAGCUUGUUGGUGGGGUAAUGGCCUACCAAGGCGGCGACGGGUAGCCGGCCUGAGAGGGUGGACGGCCACAUUGGGACUGAGAUACGGCCCAGACUACUACGGGAGGAAGCAGUGGGGAAUAUUGCACAAUGGGCGGAAGCCUGAUGCAGCGACGCCGCGUGGGGGAUGACGGCCUUCGGGUUGUAAACUCCUUUCGACCGCGAGGAAGCCACCUGGUUGGAAGGGUGGUGACGGUAGUGGUAGAAGAAGCACCGGCUAACUACGUG
This 494-nucleotide ribosomal RNA is filed under the name uncultured bacterium. Its description in RNAcentral is "partial 16S ribosomal RNA". It matches the Rfam family "Bacterial small subunit ribosomal RNA", at positions 28 to 507 of the family's 1533-position model. The record is from RNAcentral.